GACGAACGCUGGCGGCGUGCUUAACACAUGCAAGUCGAACGGAAAGGCCCUGCUUUUGUGGGGUGCUCGAGUGGCGAACGGGUGAGUAACACGUGAGUAACCUGCCCUUGACUUUGGGAUAACUUCAGGAAACUGAGGCUAAUACCGGAUAGGAGCUCCUGCUGCAUGGUGGGGGUUGGAAAGUUUCGGCGGUUGGGGAUGGACUCGCGGCUUAUCAGCUUGUUGGUGGGGUAGUGGCUUACCAAGGCUUUGACGGGUAGCCGGCCUGAGAGGGUGACCGGCCACAUGGGGACUGAGAUACGGCCCAGACGCCUACGGGAGGCAGCAGUGGGGAAUAUUGCACAAUGGGCGGAAGCCUGAUGCAGCAACGCCGCGUGCGGGAUGACGGCCUUCGGGUGGUAAACCGCUUUCGCCUGUGACGAAGCGUGAGUGACGGUAAUGGGUAAAGAAGCACCGGCUAACUACGUG
This 468-nucleotide ribosomal RNA is filed under the name uncultured bacterium. RNAcentral's name for it is "partial 16S ribosomal RNA". It matches the Rfam family "Bacterial small subunit ribosomal RNA", at positions 28 to 507 of the family's 1533-position model. The record is from RNAcentral.